This 253-nucleotide ribosomal RNA is filed under the name uncultured bacterium. Its description in RNAcentral is "partial 16S ribosomal RNA". It matches the Rfam family "Bacterial small subunit ribosomal RNA", at positions 524 to 776 of the family's 1533-position model. The record is from RNAcentral.
UACAGAGGGUGCGAGCGUUAAUCGGAAUUACUGGGCGUAAAGCGUGCGUAGACGGUUACAUAAGUCGGGUGUGAAAGCCCCCGGCUCAACCGGGGAGGGUGGCUGGAAACUGGCGUUCUUGAGGGCGAGAGAGGAGGGUGGAAUUCCUGGUGUAGCGGUGAAAUGCGUAGAGAUCAGGAGGAACACCCGGGGCGAAGGCGGCCCUCUGGCUCGACCCUGACGCUGAGGCGCGAAAGCGUGGGGAGCGAACGGG